Molecule: ribosomal RNA, 253 nt
Filed under: uncultured bacterium
Lineage: Bacteria
Description: partial 16S ribosomal RNA
Rfam family: Bacterial small subunit ribosomal RNA
Source: RNAcentral
UACAGAGGUCCCAAGCGUUGUUCGGAUUCACUGGGCGUAAAGCGCACGUAGGCGGAUCUUUAAGUCAGGGGUGAAAUCCUGGAGCUCAACUCCAGAACUGCCUUUGAUACUGGGGAUCUCGAGUCCGGGAGAGGUGAGUGGAACUCCGAGUGUAGAGGUGAAAUUCGUAGAUAUUCGGAAGAACACCAGUGGCGAAGGCGGCUCACUGGCCCGGUACUGACGCUGAGGUGCGAAAGCGUGGGGAGCAAACAGG